RNAcentral lists this ribosomal RNA (374 nucleotides) under uncultured bacterium. RNAcentral's name for it is "bacterial SSU rRNA". It matches the Rfam family "Bacterial small subunit ribosomal RNA", at positions 521 to 896 of the family's 1533-position model. The record is from RNAcentral.
UAAUACGGAGGGUGCAAGCGUUAUCCGGAUUUACUGGGUUUAAAGGGAGCGCAGGCGGAUUAGUAAGUCAGUGGUGAAAGCCUUGAGCUUAACUCGAGAACUGCCAUUGAUACUAUUAGUCUUGAAUGUUGUUGAGGUUUGCGGAAUGGGUCAUGUAGCGGUGAAAUGCAUAGAUAUGACCCGGAACACCUAUUGCGAAGGCAGCAGGCUAAACAAAUAUUGACGCUGAGGCUCGAAAGCGUGGGGAUCAAACAGGAUUAGAUACCCUGGUAGUCCACGCCCUAAACGAUGAUUACUCGACAUACGUGAUAUGACAAUGUGUGUCUGAGCGAAAGCAUUAAGUAAUCCACCUGGGAAGUACGACCGCAAGGUUG